CUUGUUUGAUUUCUGUAAAAGAGGGUCCAGCGGUUUGCAUUGCAUUUCGCGACUCAUCAUCACGAGGGAGAAACGAGUUAAGUUGCGCCUUCAAACCAAUAGCUAAACAGGAUACUCGCCCAAGGAAAUUGACGAGCAGCAGCAACUGUCACUAGAAGAAGAUCCGUUUCUUGCAUUCGUCGAUUAUGCAAGGUCUGUGCUAGGGGAAGGAUAAGGAGGUUAAGAUACGAAUAGUCAAGGAAACAGAAAACGGUCGGUUCAGCUGGAGCUGGAUCGCGUUCGGAUCCUCAAGACUCUUGUCGCUUAUUAUUCAAGCGAAUGACUGCGGCUAUUCUGCACACUGCACUCUGAUUUCUCUCAGUGGAGGCGUGGAGUGAAAUGCACACAAGCAGGGCAUCAAAGGGAAGGCCAAAAAUCAUCAAUCUGUUGAAGAAGCCAAAAACUAUCACAAUUGGCUUUAUAUAUGUGAGAAGAACUUGCUGUCCUUGAAUAGCAUUUUGGAAGUUUUUAUUGUGAUCUUCGAUGCUUUUGUUCUCCCAGGUACAAACAUCUAUACACUUACUUUGGGGGAUUUCUGGAGCUCAAACACCAUUGACCUUAUGUCCACCGAAGGUUAGUACCAUAUUCUGUACUGGUCAUUGGACAUUGAUGGUUCAUAUUUCUUCAUCUUUUUUAAUUUCACAGGCAUUCAUCUGUUUUAAUAUUCUUCUUUGCUUUUGCGGAUUUUCUUGUUUUUCAUUAAAAUCAUUAUAUUUUGUAUAUUACGAUGGUAAAUGUGGAAAUUAGAAUUUGUUUCUAAGUUGCAUUUGGAUCUUCGUACAUU
Molecule: unclassified non-coding RNA, 823 nt
Filed under: Hevea brasiliensis (rubber tree)
Lineage: Eukaryota; Viridiplantae; Streptophyta; Magnoliopsida; Malpighiales; Euphorbiaceae
Source: RNAcentral